GAGUGGGUAGUCCGCACGAGCGCACCUCACUUUUAGUUGCCAUCAUUAAGUUGGGCACUCUGAAAGAACUGCCAGUGAUAAGCUGGAGGAAGGUGGGGAUGACGUCAAGUCCUCAUGGCCCUUACGUGUCGGGCUACACACGUGCUACAAUGGCAUCUACAACAGGAAGCAAAACGGCAACGUUAAGCAAAUCCCGAAAAGAUGCCUCAGUUCGGAUUGCACUCUGCAACUCGAGUGCAUGAAGCUGGAAUUACUAGUAAUCGUGGAUCAGCGUGCCACGGUGAAUGCGUUCCCGGGUCUUGUACACACCGCCCGUCACACCAUGGGAGUUGGUUCUACCUUAAGGCAAGGCUUUAAACCCUUGACCACGGUAUAGUCAGCGACUGGGGUGAAGUCGUAACAAGGUAGCCGUAGGGGAACCUGCGGCUGGAUUACCUCCUUUCU
This 444-nucleotide ribosomal RNA is filed under the name uncultured Pelagibacterales bacterium. Its description in RNAcentral is "bacterial SSU rRNA". It matches the Rfam family "Bacterial small subunit ribosomal RNA", at positions 1074 to 1533 of the family's 1533-position model. Lineage: Bacteria; Pseudomonadati; Pseudomonadota; Alphaproteobacteria; Candidatus Pelagibacterales. The record is from RNAcentral.